AGCAGCCGCGGUAAUUCCAGCUCCAAUAGCGUAUAUUAAAGUUGUUGCAGUUAAAAAGCUCGUAGUUGAAUUUCGAGAUCAAAUUGUUGGUCGUGCCUUGGUACGCACUGGCAUUAUUGGUUUCUCCCUUCUGACGAACCAUGAUGUCAUUAAUUUGGUGUCUUGGGGAAUCAGGACUGUUACUUUGAAAAAAUUUAGAGUGUUUAAAGCAGGCUCACGCUUGAAUACAUUAGCAUGGAAUAAUGAAAUAGGACGUUUGAUUCUAUUUUGUUGGUUUCUAGGAUCGACGUAAUGAUUAAUAGGGAUAGUUGGGGGCAUUAGUAUUCAAUUGUCAGAGGUGAAAUUCUUGGAUUUAUUGAAGACUAACUACUGCGAAAGCAUUUGCCAAGGAUGUUUUCAUUAAUCAAGAACGAAAGUUAGGGGAUCGAAGACGAUCAGAUACCGUCGUAGUCUUAACCAUAAACUAUGCCGACUAGGGAUCGGAUGAUGUUAAUUUUUUUAAUGACUCAUUCGGCGCCUU
RNAcentral lists this non-coding RNA (520 nucleotides) under uncultured Glomus. RNAcentral describes it as "SSU rRNA". It matches the Rfam family "Eukaryotic small subunit ribosomal RNA", at positions 569 to 1089 of the family's 1831-position model. The record is from RNAcentral. RNAcentral also lists the same sequence under 1 other name. Lineage: Eukaryota; Fungi; Glomeromycota; Glomeromycetes; Glomerales; Glomeraceae.